Long non-coding RNA from Sander lucioperca (pikeperch), 2184 nucleotides. The record is from Ensembl. NCBI's taxonomy places the organism in Eukaryota, Metazoa, Chordata, Actinopteri, Perciformes, Percidae.
GAGAGAUUGUGUGUGUGUGUGUGUGUGUGUGUGUGUGUGUGUGUGUGAGAUUGCGUGUGUCAGAGAUUGUGUGUCUGAAUCUACUACAAUAAUGGAGAUCUUCUUGGUUUCUUGUUUCUCAGCUUCCCCUCUGGUUCACGUAGUGAGGCCUCCUCCUCCUCUUCCUCCUCCUCCUCUUCCUCCCCCCUCCUCCUCCUCCUCCUCGCCGGCUGUAGCUCCGCCCCUGAUGUCUCAGGCCACGCCCCUCAUCCUGACGCAGACCAGUAGCGGGACGUUCCUGCUCCCAGCAGCCCCUGGGACACACCCCGGCUCGCCCAUCCUCUUCUCCACACAGGGUUUCCCGAUGAUGAACCGCGGCGCUCCCCUGGUGCUGAACCUGCGGCCGGGUCAGACGGUGCAGCCACUCACGCUGAUCCAGUCGCCGUCGUUGGGUCAGCUGGUCCGGCCCAGCGUGGGCGUGUCCCCGAUCCUGACCCAGAGCCGACCGGGCGCCGCCCAGACGGGAGCCUUCACCGCCAUGCUGAGCAUCCGCACCGGCACGCCACAACCUGUUAACUUCCAGAUGACCCAGGUGGGCGGAGCCAGCCCUCUGAAGCUGGCAGGAAGCCCCGCCCUCCCCUCAGGAUCGGCUAAUGGAGUCGCCAGAAUCAGUGAGUUAGUUUGUUCUUCUGUUUGAGCGCUGGGAACUAAUGGUGCGUUCACAGCAGGGUGUUUUUGACGCUUAUUCCAACGUUUCUGUCAGUGUUUUCUCUGUUUGUUAUGCUUUUUCUGGCGUUUUUGCCACUUUAUUUGGCUCAAUUCAAACCGGCUCUAAAUGUUUUUUCUGUUCCACUUCGAUGUUCCAAAGCGCUGGGAGCUAAUGCUGCGUUUUCACCCACAUCCGGUGGCGUGAUUACAACAGACGUGAGUUCACAGCGGUGCAAAUGAGGCGAAGACGGGGAAAUAUCGCUGUUCGCGUCGCCGUAAAUUUGCGAUAAAGGGGGCUGUCUUUGGGCGAAGUAAAGGCGCUGACACACCAACCCGAUUAUCGGCCGUCUGGCGAGGUCGGUGACUCGAGUCUGUUUGGUGUGUUCUGUGCCGUCGUCCGUCGGAGGAGCCGUCGGCCUUCAUUUGGGCCGAUUUCACUUGUUGAAUCGGCCAGCGGGCAGUCGGACUCAAGGACCAAUCUGAUUGGUGGAGUUCUAUCCCUUGACUAGCGAAUCAGAGCAUGAAAAACCGGGAAGUGACGUGUAAACAUACCAGAUAAACAGUGAUGGUGCAGACCCGCUCACUCACUAUCAUCGCAUCAUUUGGAUUAUUGAAUUGGAUUUCUGUUGGAUUUUGGAUCAUCGUGACUCUGUGGACCGAAGCACUCGAAGACGAGUUGAUCAGCAUGAUCGAGGAGAGGCCGCCGCUGUACAACGCAUCUGAAAAGAACUAUUCCAACCAAGUAGUGAAGAGAGACUGCUGGCGUCAGAUCACGGAGAAAAUACAUAUAUCAGGUAAGACUUUCUCUUCUAUCUAAUUGUGUGUACAUCCCACCUUCGUACAAUGUGUAGGACAAAGGGCAGAAUGCAUGAAAGACAGGAAAGAGACCCUGUUUAGGGCGGCUCAAGCCCCCCUAAAUUUCAUCUCAGCACCCCUAAAAAUAAUAAUAAUAAAAAUUAAAUCAACUUUGGUGCUUCAAGUGAGAGUUUGGUAACUUGUGUGUUAGUGACAGAGGACAAACAAUAUAACAGCAUGUUGGAAAGGGUUAACAGAAAUGUAGUGUUGGCCAAUCAGAAGAGGUUGUGCCGGAGUCUCGCUCUAUCUGAUCUGUGAGAGGGAGAGCAGGAGACGGUUGUGAAGUUUAAUGUUGGUAGGGGCGGGGGAAAAAAUCCAUACAGCAUAGUAUCGCAAUAUUUUCCGUGGCAAUACUGUAUGGAUACACAGACGCCAAGUAUGGAUCUAUUAUUAUAUAUGUGUUGGUCAGUCUGUCUGCUUGAUAAUCCCAUUUUGCAGCAACAAAAUUGAAGUGAGAUGAACAAACAGAGACAUGUAUGUUUUUAGAUAAAACAGAUGUUGACAAAGUUUACUUUUGGGGACAUCAUUUGAAAUUGGGGGAAAAUUAGAAGUUGGAAAAAAGGUAAUAAAUUGCAAUAUAUCGCAGAAUAUUGCAAUAUGUUUAAAAUGGCAAUAAUAUCGUAUCGUAAGGCCUCUGGUGAU